GAAUCGCGAUAGGAAUUGCGAAUUGCAGAAUUCAGUGAAUCAUCGUAACUUUGAACGCAAACUGCGCUUCGGGGUUGACCCGGAGCAUGCCUCUUUGAGUGUCGGUCAAAUCCUCCUGGAUUCUUCCAGGGACGUGAGAGUCGAGAGUCUCUCCAAGUAUGAGCGCGCGGUUUCGGCCGCUUCCUGACGCCUUGCUGGUGCUAUUUGAAUGGAGAUGACAAUUUUCAUGCAACUGUUCUUGGCUGGCUAUGGAUUUGCGAUCAGUUUGCUUGCAAACACACGCUUGACCAUCGACCUCAAAUGAGGUAAGAUUACCCGCUGAACUUAA
This 328-nucleotide unclassified non-coding RNA is filed under the name uncultured fungus. RNAcentral describes it as "sequence contains ITS1". The stretch from base 1 to 104 matches the Rfam family "5.8S ribosomal RNA", at positions 50 to 154 of the family's 154-position model. Lineage: Eukaryota; Fungi. The record is from RNAcentral.